Molecule: ribosomal RNA, 301 nt
Filed under: uncultured bacterium
Lineage: Bacteria
Description: partial 16S ribosomal RNA
Rfam family: Bacterial small subunit ribosomal RNA
Source: RNAcentral
CAGUCGCCGCGGUAAUACGUAGGGUGCAAGCGUUAAUCGGAAUUACUGGGCGUAAAGCGUGCGCAGGCGGUUAUAUAAGACAGAUGUGAAAUCCCCGGGCUCAACCUGGGAACUGCAUUUGUGACUGUAUAGCUAGAGUACGGCAGAGGGGGAUGGAAUUCCGCGUGUAGCAGUGAAAUGCGUAGAUAUGCGGAGGAACACCGAUGGCGAAGGCAAUCCCCUGGGCCUGUACUGACGCUCAUGCACGAAAGCGUGGGGAGCAAACAGGAUUAGAUACCCCGGUAGUCCCUGUUUCUUAUAC